GCCAGACUCAGAAGCAGCUGUAUCCGUGCUGGCAUGGGCUCUGUGGGCUGAUACCGAAAAGAGACAUUUGCUUUUCUCUGCAACUACUUGUGAAUGAGCAGUGUAACUCUUUCCUUGGAGAUUUUUACAACAUCCUGGCCCUGAGACGCCACACCUCUUGGAUUCUCAUCGCUCAUCUGUGUUGCUCUGAGGUAAGGCAUCAGAUAUUAAGUCAGAAUUUGUCAAUAUUGGUUAAAUG
Molecule: long non-coding RNA, 238 nt
Filed under: Fukomys damarensis (Damara mole-rat)
Lineage: Eukaryota; Metazoa; Chordata; Mammalia; Rodentia; Bathyergidae
Description: lncRNA (ENSFDAG00000026094.1)
Source: RNAcentral